CGUAGGCGGCUUGUUAAGUCAGAUGUGAAAGCCCCGGGCUCAACCUGGGAAUUGCAUUUGAUACUGGCAGGCUAGAGUGUGGUAGAGGGAAGUGGAAUUCCGGGUGUAGCGGUGAAAUGCGUAGAUAUCCGGAGGAACACCAGUGGCGAAGGCGACUUCCUGGACCAACACUGACGCUGAGGUGCGAAAGCGUGGGGAGCAAACA
RNAcentral lists this ribosomal RNA (205 nucleotides) under uncultured bacterium. Its description in RNAcentral is "partial 16S ribosomal RNA". It matches the Rfam family "Bacterial small subunit ribosomal RNA", at positions 570 to 774 of the family's 1533-position model. The record is from RNAcentral.